RNAcentral lists this unclassified non-coding RNA (596 nucleotides) under Paraconiothyrium cyclothyrioides. RNAcentral describes it as "sequence contains ITS1, 5.8S rRNA gene and ITS2". The stretch from base 237 to 390 matches the Rfam family "5.8S ribosomal RNA". Lineage: Eukaryota; Fungi; Ascomycota; Dothideomycetes; Pleosporales; Didymosphaeriaceae. The record is from RNAcentral.
GUAACAAGGUUUCCGUAGGUGAACCUGCGGAAGGAUCAUUACCAAUUCAACGGUGUGGUCGCGGCCUCCGGGGGCUCCCCCCGGGCGGUAGAGGUAACACUCUUACGCGCCACAUGUCUGAAUCCUUUUUUUACGAGCACCUUUCGUUCUCCUUCGGUGGGGCAACCUGCCGUUGGAACUUAUCAAAACCUUUUUUUGCAUCUAGCAUUACCUGUUCAGAUACAAACAAUCGUUACAACUUUCAACAAUGGAUCUCUUGGCUCUGGCAUCGAUGAAGAACGCAGCGAAAUGCGAUAAGUAGUGUGAAUUGCAGAAUUCAGUGAAUCAUCGAAUCUUUGAACGCACAUUGCGCCCCUUGGUAUUCCAUGGGGCAUGCCUGUUCGAGCGUCAUCUACACCCUCAAGCUCUGCUUGGUGUUGGGCGUCUGUCCCGCCUCUGCGCGUGGACUCGCCCCAAAUUCAUUGGCAGCGGUCUUUGCCUCCUCUCGCGCAGCACAUUGCGCUUCAGAGGGGUGUGGGCCGCGUCCACGAAGCAACAUUAUCGUCUUUGACCUCGGAUCAGGUAGGGAUACCCGCUGAACUUAAGCAUAUCAAUAA